Molecule: small RNA, 125 nt
Filed under: Marmota monax (woodchuck)
Lineage: Eukaryota; Metazoa; Chordata; Mammalia; Rodentia; Sciuridae
Source: RNAcentral
GCUGGGUGUGGUGGUGCACACCUGUAAUCCCAGCAGCUCGGGAGACUGAGGCAGGAGGAUCACGAGUUCAAAGCCAGCCUCAGCAAAAGUGAGGCACUAAGCAACUCAGUGAAGCCCUGUCUCUA